GGGGAUGUGGCUCAGUGGUAGAGCGUCCGCUGUAGGCUACUCCAUUAUCUGCUGCCAUCGUCUUCGGAUUCUAAUUUCUUCGUAGUUGCACUUAUCAAGAGUUCGCCUGCGGAAGGCCCGGGGUUCGAUCCCCCGCUUCUGUG
Non-coding RNA from Letharia columbiana, 143 nucleotides. NCBI's taxonomy places the organism in Eukaryota, Fungi, Ascomycota, Lecanoromycetes, Lecanorales, Parmeliaceae. The record is from the annotation of a RefSeq genome assembly.